AGUGAACGCUGGCGGUAGGCCUAACACAUGCAAGUCGAACGGCAGCACGGUAAGAGCUUGCUCUUACGGGUGGCGGGUGGCGGACGGGUGAGGAAUACAUCGGAAUCUACUUUUUCGUGGGGGAUAACGUAGGGAAACUUACGCUAAUACCGCAUACGACCUACGGGUGAAAGCAGGGGAUCUUCGGACCUUGCGCGAUUGAAUGAGCCGAUGUCGGAUUAGCUAGUUGGCGGGGUAAAGGCCCACCAAGGCGACGAUCCGUAGCUGGUCUGAGAGGAUGAUCAGCCACACUGGAACUGAGACACGGUCCAGACUCCUACGGGAGGCAGCAGUGGGGAAUAUUGGACAAUGGGCGAAAGCCUGAUCCAGCCAUACCGCGUGGGUGAAGAAGGCCUUCGGGUUGUAAAGCCCUUUUGUUGGGAAAGAAAAGCAGCAGGUUAAUACCCCGCUGUUCUGACGGUACCCAAAGAAUAAGCACCGGCUAACUUCGUG
RNAcentral lists this ribosomal RNA (492 nucleotides) under uncultured bacterium. RNAcentral describes it as "partial 16S ribosomal RNA". It matches the Rfam family "Bacterial small subunit ribosomal RNA", at positions 29 to 507 of the family's 1533-position model. The record is from RNAcentral.